GAUGAACGCUGGCGGCGUGCCUAAUACAUGCAAGUCGAGCGAACAGACGAGGAGCUUGCUCCUCUGACGUUAGCGGCGGACGGGUGAGUAACACGUGGAUAACCUACCUAUAAGACUGGGAUAACUUCGGGAAACCGGAGCUAAUACCGGAUAAUAUAUUGAACCGCAUGGUUCAAUAGUGGAAGACGGUUUUGCUGUCACUUAUAGAUGGAUCCGCGCCGCAUUAGCUAGUUGGUAAGGUAACGGCUUACCAAGGCAACGAUGCGUAGCCGACCUGAGAGGGUGAUCGGCCACACUGGAACUGAGACACGGUCCAGACUCCUACGGGAGGCAGCAGUAGGGAAUCUUCCGCAAUGGGCGAAAGCUUGACGGAGCAACGCCGCGUGAGUGAUGAAGGUCUUCGGAUCGUAAAACUCUGUUAUUAGGGAAGAACAAAUGUGUAAGUAACUAUGCACGUCUUGACGGUACCUAAUCAGAAGGCCACGGCUAACUACGUG
This 497-nucleotide ribosomal RNA is filed under the name uncultured bacterium. Its description in RNAcentral is "partial 16S ribosomal RNA". It matches the Rfam family "Bacterial small subunit ribosomal RNA", at positions 28 to 507 of the family's 1533-position model. The record is from RNAcentral.